RNAcentral lists this ribosomal RNA (560 nucleotides) under uncultured archaeon. RNAcentral describes it as "bacterial SSU rRNA". It matches the Rfam family "Archaeal small subunit ribosomal RNA", at positions 322 to 882 of the family's 1478-position model. The record is from RNAcentral.
AUUACGGGGUGCAGCAGGCGCGACAACUUUACAAUGCCGGCAACGGCGAUAAGGGGACCUCGAGUGCCAGGUUACAAAUCUGGCUGUCGUGAUGCCUAAAAAGCAUUGCAUAGCAAGGGCCGGGCAAGACCGGUGCCAGCCGCCGCGGUAACACCGGCGGCUCGAGUGGUAACCGUUAUUAUUGGGUCUAAAGGGUCUGUAGCCGGCCGGAUAAGUCUCUUGAGAAAUCCAGCAGCUCAACUGUUGGGCUUUCAGGAGAUACUGUCUGGCUCGAGGCCGGGAGAGGUGAGAGGUACUUCAGGGGUAGGGGUGAAAUCUUGUAAUCCUUGAAGGACCACCAGUGGCGAAGGCGUCUCACCAGAACGGACCUGACGGCAAGGGACGAAAGCUAGGGGCACGAACCGGAUUAGAUACCCGGGUAGUCCUAGCCGUAAACGAUACUCGCUAGGUGUCGGCCACGGUGCGACCGUUGUCGGUGCCGUAGGGAAGCCGUGAAGCGAGCCACCUGGGAAGUACGGCCGCAAGGCUGAAACUUAAAGGAAUUGGCGGGGGAGCACAAU